AAAAAGAUUCGCAGUCAGCAGGAUUCGAACCUACGCGGACAGAGCCCAUUUGAUUUCGAGUCAAACUCCUUAACCACUCGGACAUUCUUAACCACUCGGACAUGACUGCACGUUUUG
Non-coding RNA from Caenorhabditis elegans, 117 nucleotides. NCBI's taxonomy places the organism in Eukaryota, Metazoa, Nematoda, Chromadorea, Rhabditida, Rhabditidae. The record is from Ensembl.